UAUCCAAUCAUAUAUAACUAAAAUUAAAAUUUUAUAUGAAUAAUAAUUUUUUAUUUUAAAAAUAUUCUGUAUAUUUUCUCAAUCAUACAAUUAAUAGUCAUGUAGGCAACGGCGGGCAUAUGCUGUUACUUGGUAAUUUGGAGGGCUUCCGGCUUGGCCACUUAGUGUGAGAGACAGAAAAAGAGAAAGAGAGAAAUAUAUUAAAAAUUUAGAGCUUUGUGAAUGAAAGAAAGAAAGAAAAAAUGUAUAAAUUUAGUAAAAUUUUGCUCUUUUAUUUGUCUAUUGGAUUUGUUUUUAUGGGCCAACAACAUUGGCCUAAUUUUUACUAAACUAAGAUUAUUCGCUCAGCCUAUAUAUAAUUAAAAUAUAUUAUUUUUAUAUAUUUUUUAAUAUAUAUAUAUAUAUAGUGUAGAACUACUAUACUAUCGAAAAUAUAGAGGAUUUGAUGUUUUCGAAUUUUUGACCCUUUGAUUAAGAAUUGUAUGGUUGGGAUGAUUGCGAUCCCCCCUAGAAUUAAAUAAUACUUCUAGGAUUGAGUGGUCCCUACAAGGUAAUAAUAGUAUUAAUCCAAAGAUAAGAAAUGAUUAAAGGAGUUGAUCUAAGAAUCAAAAAAUCGAAAGCACAAGAUCCUCUAUACUUUCGAUAGCAUAGUAGCUCUACUAUAUAUAUAUAUAUAUAUAUAGAGUCCGACUACUAUUCUAUUAAUAGCACGAAGUACUUAGUGCUACCAAGUUUUCCGCCGUUAGAUCUACUCUUUUGAUUAUUUUCACAUGUUAGAUCAUACUAUUCAACCAACCCAUCCACUCAACCCUAGGGGACCCACAUCAUCCUAACCGUACAUCUUUUAAUCCAAUGAUCAAAAACUUGGUGGCACAAAUGACUUGGUGCUAUUAAUAGUAUAGUAGCCUAGUUCUAUAUGUAUAUAUAUGUAUAUAUGUAUAUAUGUGUGUGUGUGUGUGUGUGUGUGUUGUGUGUGUGUGUGUGUGUGUGUGUGUGUGUGUGUGUGUGUGCUGGAAUAUUAUUAAUAGUAAAACGCUCUUUUUGCUAUCAAGUUUUUAAUCCUUGGAUGAAAAAUUGUAAGGUCAGGAUGAUAUUAGUCGGUUAGAAUUGAGUGGUCCCCCUAGGGUUGAGUGGUUCCCACUAGGUUAUAGUAUUUAAUCCAAUGGUUAGAAAUAAUGAAAAGAGUUGAUCCAAAGACUAAAAAACUGGUAGCAACAGUGGGAUUAUGCUAUUAAUAGUAGCCCAGUCCAACACACACACACACUCUCUCUCUCUCUCUCUCUCUCUCUCUCUCUCUCUCUCUCU
RNAcentral lists this long non-coding RNA (1305 nucleotides) under Ananas comosus (pineapple). Its description in RNAcentral is "long non-coding RNA (ACOM_LNC016632)". Lineage: Eukaryota; Viridiplantae; Streptophyta; Magnoliopsida; Poales; Bromeliaceae. The record is from RNAcentral.